RNAcentral lists this ribosomal RNA (450 nucleotides) under uncultured bacterium. RNAcentral describes it as "partial 16S ribosomal RNA". It matches the Rfam family "Bacterial small subunit ribosomal RNA", at positions 354 to 796 of the family's 1533-position model. The record is from RNAcentral.
GUGGGGAAUAUUGGACAAUGGGCGAAAGCCUGAUCCAGCCAUGCCGCGUGUGUGAAGAAGGUCUUCGGAUUGUAAAGCACUUUAAGUUGGGAGGAAGGGCAGUAAGUUAAUACCUUGCUGUUUUGACGUUACCGACAGAAUAAGCACCGGCUAACUUCGUGCCAGCAGCCGCGGUAAUACGAAGGGUGCAAGCGUUAAUCGGAAUUACUGGGCGUAAAGCGUGCGCAGGCGGUUUUGUAAGACAGGCGUGAAAUCCCCGGGCUCAACCUGGGAACUGCCUCCAAAACUGCAUGACUAGAGUACGGUAGAGGGUAGUGGAAUUUCCUGUGUAGCGGUGAAAUGCGUAGAUAUAGGAAGGAACACCAGUGGCGAAGGCGACUACCUGGACUGAUACUGACACUGAGGUGCGAAAGCGUGGGGAGCAAACAGGAUUAGAAACCCGUGUAGUCC